ACGGGAGGCAGCAGUGGGGGAUAUUGCACAAUGGGGGAAACCCUGAUGCAGCGACGCCGCGUGAGUGAAGAAGUAUUUCGGUAUGUAAAGCUCUAUCAGCAGGGAAGAAAAUGACGGUACCUGACUAAGAAGCUCCGGCUAAAUACGUGCCAGCAGCCGCGGUAAUACGUAUGGAGCAAGCGUUAUCCGGAUUUACUGGGUGUAAAGGGAGCGUAGACGGCGAGGCAAGUCUGAUGUGAAAGCCAUGGGCUCAACCCAUGAACUGCAUUGGAAACUGUCUUGCUUGAGUGUCGGAGAGGUAAGCGGAAUUCCUAGUGUAGCGGUGAAAUGCGUAGAUAUUAGGAGGAACACCAGUGGCGAAGGCGGCUUACUGGACGAUAACUGACGUUGAGGCUCGAAAGCGUGGGGAGCAAACAGGAUUAGAUACCCUGGUA
Molecule: ribosomal RNA, 434 nt
Filed under: uncultured Lachnospiraceae bacterium
Lineage: Bacteria; Bacillati; Bacillota; Clostridia; Lachnospirales; Lachnospiraceae
Description: bacterial SSU rRNA
Rfam family: Bacterial small subunit ribosomal RNA
Source: RNAcentral